Long non-coding RNA from Armigeres subalbatus, 268 nucleotides. RefSeq lists it as uncharacterized. NCBI's taxonomy places the organism in Eukaryota, Metazoa, Arthropoda, Insecta, Diptera, Culicidae. The record is from RefSeq and is a predicted model, not a curated record. The transcript is spliced from 2 exons.
AAAACACAUUAUUAGUCCUCCUCGCCGAUCCACGAGCACGCAUCGAAUUCUGCCUAAUUGACGCUUCAUCUGUCCUCUGCCCGAUAAACGGUUCCAUCAUCACAAUCCGCCAAAAUUGCGCGGUUACAAUGCACAGUUGGAAGAUUCAUUUAUAGAACACAACAGGAACAAGCAGUUUCUUCGGGUUCGGAUUUGUAUUUAUAAUAGCAUCCAAUGAAAUAUUCUGUAUUUAUAAAUAAAUAAAGGAAAAAAUGAUGAUUUCUAAAUA